RNAcentral lists this ribosomal RNA (460 nucleotides) under uncultured bacterium. Its description in RNAcentral is "partial 16S ribosomal RNA". It matches the Rfam family "Bacterial small subunit ribosomal RNA", at positions 338 to 795 of the family's 1533-position model. The record is from RNAcentral.
CCUACGGGUGGCAGCAGUGAGGAAUAUUGGUCAAUGGGCGCGAGCCUGACCCAGCCACGUAGCGUGAAGGAUGACUGCCCUACGGGUUGUAAACUUCUUUUGUAAAGAAAUACAGUCAGGCCCGUAUGCAUUUUUGUAUGUACUUUAUGAAUAAGGAUCGGCUAACUCCGUUCCAGCAGCCGCGGUACUACGGAGGAUCCGAGCGUUAUCCGGAUUUAUUGGGUUUAAAGGGAGCGUAGAUGGGUUGUUAAGUCAGGUGUGAAAGCGUGCGGCUCAACCGUAAAAUUGCAAUUGAUACUGGCAGUCUUGAGUACAGGUGAGGUAGGCGGAAUUCGUGGUGUAGCGGUGAAAUGCGUAGAUAUCACGAAGAACUUCGAUUGCGAAGGCAGCUUACUAAACUGCCACUGACAUUGAUGCGCGAAAGUGUGGGUAUCAAACAGGAUUAGAUACCCCUGUAGUC